UGAAAAGCUUAGAAUGAGAGUAGUAGAAAGUAAGAGAUGUUAAAGAGAGUAGGGAUAUGGUGAGAGCCCGCAUAUUAUCGCUUUUGAACUCGCUCAGGAGCUACAAAACUGAAUGGGGAAGUAGGUUUUGUCGGUAAAGUUAUGCCGUUAUUUCAAUUAAGUUAAAACUUGGAUGGUACCGCGUAAAUCGCUCCAAUU
Molecule: non-coding RNA, 198 nt
Filed under: Clostridium sp.
Lineage: Bacteria; Bacillati; Bacillota; Clostridia; Eubacteriales; Clostridiaceae
Description: T-box sequence
Rfam family: T-box leader
About the family: Uncharged tRNA acts as the effector for transcription antitermination of genes in the T-box leader family.
Source: RNAcentral